ACACACAUAUAUAUACACACAUACUUAUACUAUGUAUUUAUUAAAAACCAAGCAAAACUGUGAGAAAGAUCAAUCCUCUGAGCUGCUGAUUUAUCCAGCAUAAGAAAACAAGAUCAAUACAAAUACUAGAGAAAUUAAAUUCCUCACCACUAAACAUUUAGGCAGAAUUCUAAGACAGUGAUGGCUGGACACUAGUGUACUACGUUUCCCAGGGUGCUCAAGCAGCCACUUUUAUGGCUGUAGAUCAUGGUAAUAGUAGCCAAAUGCCACCUGUGCCACCAUUGACAAUUAACCACCAUUUUCAUCAAACAUAACACACACCAUAAGAAGUCUGGAGAAAAACCACUUAUCCUAGUACUUUCGCAAAGUUAAAAGACUUGUUUUUACCAGCUCUGUAGCCCUUUUCCUCAAAUUAAAAAACAAAAAAAAAGUUAUAUUAAUAAAUAAAUUAGACCUUCAUUACUACAAUUUUAUAAGAAUGUGGGGGAGGGGGAAGAGACACCGAGGGCUCCAGUAUAUGAAUUAAGCACGAAACAACUAGUCUGGUUUUUAAUUUGUUAAGCAGUCAUUUUAACCCUUUUAAAAAGCGAGAUGGUGGGGGAGGCAACACAUUAGAAAGCCAUGUGCUGCUCAACCUCAUGGCACUGAAAGGGUCAAGGCUGCAGUUUCUGUACAGAUGGCUUUUUGUCCUUCUCCCUGCUGCCAUCUGCUUUGAAAUAUAUGCGCCACAGGCUGCUUGGUGGAUUUUAGCAGCGAAUGGAGCUACUAUUCAGGAAACAGGAUAGAAGUUUAACAGGAAGACUCUCAUACUGCUUUGUUAUGAUUUUUGAGAAGACUGAUA
This is a non-coding RNA of Pelobates cultripes (western spadefoot toad), 841 nucleotides long. NCBI's taxonomy places the organism in Eukaryota, Metazoa, Chordata, Amphibia, Anura, Pelobatidae. The record is from the annotation of a GenBank genome assembly.